ACUCCUACGGGAGGCAGCAGUGGGGAAUAUUGCACAAUGGGCGCAAGCCUGAUGCAGCCAUGCCGCGUGUAUGAAGAAAGGCCUUCGGGUUGUAAAGUACUUUCAGCAGUGAGGAAGGCAGGUACGUUAAUAGCGUGCUUGUUUGACGUUAGCUGCAGAAGAAGCACCGGCUAACUCCGUGCCAGCAGCCGCGGUAAUACGGAGGGUGCGAGCGUUAAUCGGAAUUACUGGGCGUAAAGCGCAUGCAGGUGGUUUGUUAAGUCAGAUGUGAAAGCCCGGGGCUCAACCUCGGAAUUGCAUUUGAAACUGGCAGGACUAGAGUACUGUAGAGGGGGGUAGAAUUUCAGGUGUAGCGGUGAAAUGCGUAGAGAUCUGAAGGAAUACCGGUGGCGAAGGCGGCCCCCCUGGACAGAUACUGACACUCAGAUGCGAAAGCGUGGGGAGCAAACAGGAUUAGAUACCCUGGUAGGAUAGCG
RNAcentral lists this ribosomal RNA (476 nucleotides) under uncultured bacterium. Its description in RNAcentral is "bacterial SSU rRNA". It matches the Rfam family "Bacterial small subunit ribosomal RNA", at positions 335 to 799 of the family's 1533-position model. The record is from RNAcentral.